UUCCUCAGUGGAUGAUGAACGUGUAUUGGU
Molecule: non-coding RNA, 30 nt
Filed under: Macaca fascicularis (crab-eating macaque)
Lineage: Eukaryota; Metazoa; Chordata; Mammalia; Primates; Cercopithecidae
Also listed under: 1 other name
Source: RNAcentral